This 873-nucleotide ribosomal RNA is filed under the name Candidatus Acetothermia bacterium. RNAcentral's name for it is "partial 23S ribosomal RNA". It matches the Rfam family "Bacterial large subunit ribosomal RNA", at positions 1 to 826 of the family's 2925-position model. The record is from RNAcentral. Lineage: Bacteria; Candidatus Bipolaricaulota.
CGGUCAAGUCGUUAAGGGCAUGAGGUGGAUGCCUCGGCUCCGGAAGACGAUGAAGGGCGUGGUAAGCUGCGAUAAGCGUCGGUGAGGUGCAAACAACCGUAGACCCGGCGAUCCCCGAAUGGGAAAACCUGGCGGGAGUCAUGUCCCGUCAUCCCCACCUGAACACAUAGGGUGGGUGAAGGCAACCGGGGGAACUGAAACAUCUAAGUACCCCGAGGAAAAGAAAGCAACCGCGAUUCCCCCAGUAGCGGCGAGCGAACAGGGAACAGCCCAAACCGGUGGCGUGUAAGCGUACGGGCGUUGCGUCACCGGGGUUGUGGGGUUCUUCCAGGCUGAACCGUACCAGGCCAGGGAGUAAAAAAACUCGUUUAUAGCCGAACUGUGCUGGAAAGACAGGCCGCAGAAGGUGAUAGCCCCGUAGGCGAAAUGAACGAGUCUCCCGGAAGAAUUCCCGAGUACCACGGGGCACGUGGAACCCAGUGGGAAUCCGGGUGGACCAUCACCCAAGGCUAAAUACUCUCCGGAGACCGAUAGCGUACCAGUACCGUGAGGGAAAGGUGAAAAGCACCCCGGGAGGGGAGUGAAAUAGAACCUGAAACCUCGUGCCUACAAGCAGUGGGAGCCUCUCUUCGGAGGGGUGACCGCGUACCUUUUGCAUAAUGGGCCAGCGAGUUGCUCGUCUGUGGCAAGGUUAAGGGCUUCAGGUCCCGAGCCGCAGCGAAAGCGAGUCUGAACAGGGCGUUCAGUCACGGGCGGCAGACGCGAAACCGGGUGAUCUAUCCAUGGCCAGGUUGAAGCGCAGGUAAAACUGCGUGGAGGACCGAACCAUUGCACGUUGAAAAGUGCUUGGAUGAGCUGUGGAUAGGGGUGAAA